RNAcentral lists this non-coding RNA (32 nucleotides) under Rattus norvegicus (Norway rat). Lineage: Eukaryota; Metazoa; Chordata; Mammalia; Rodentia; Muridae. The record is from RNAcentral.
UAUCACUCUCUAAAGUGACAACUUACUCAGGU